AGUAGUUUGAUCAUGGCUCGAGGACGACGCUGGCGGUGUGCUUCACACAUGCAAGUCGAACGAGGUAGCAAUACCUAGUGGCGGACGGGUGAGUAACGCGUGGGAAUCUGCCUUUAGAUGGGGGAUAACGGGUCGAAAGACUCGCUAAUACCGCAUAUGACGAAAGUUGAAAGGAGUAAUCCGUCUAAAGAUGAGCCCGCGUCCGAUUAGCUAGUUGGUAGAGUAAAAGCCUACCAAGGCGACGAUCGGUAGCUGGUCUGAGAGGAUGAUCAGCCACAAUGGGACUGAGACACGGCCCAUACUCCUACGGGAGGCAGCAGUGGGGAAUUCUACGCAAUGGGCGAAAGCCUGACGUAGCGACACCGCGUGAGCGAAGAAGCCCCUUGGGGUGUAAAGCUCUGUCAGCUGGAACGAAAAAAUGACGGUACCAGCAGAGGAAGCAUCGGCUAACUACGUG
RNAcentral lists this ribosomal RNA (457 nucleotides) under uncultured bacterium. RNAcentral describes it as "bacterial SSU rRNA". It matches the Rfam family "Bacterial small subunit ribosomal RNA", at positions 1 to 507 of the family's 1533-position model. The record is from RNAcentral.